GUAGGGAAUCUUCGGCAAUGGACGAAAGUCUGACCGAGCAACGCCGCGUGAGUGAAGAAGGUUUUCGGAUCGUAAAACUCUGUUGUUAGAGAAGAAUGUUGAUUAGAGUGGAAAAUUAAUCAAGUGACGGUAUCUAACCAGAAAGGGACGGCUAACUACGUGCCAGCAGCCGCGGUAAUACGUAGGUCCCGAGCGUUGUCCGGAUUUAUUGGGCGUAAAGCGAGCGCAGGUGGUUUAAUAAGUCUGAUGUAAAAGGCAGUGGCUCAACCAUUGUGUGCAUUGGAAACUGUUAGACUUGAGUGCAGUAGAGGAGAGUGGAAUUCCAUGUGUAGCGGUGAAAUGCGUAGAUAUAUGGAGGAACACCGGUGGCGAAAGCGGCUCUCUGGACUGUCACUGACACUGAGGCUCGAAAGCGUGGGUAGCAAACAGGAUUAGAUACCCCUGUAGUCC
RNAcentral lists this ribosomal RNA (450 nucleotides) under uncultured bacterium. RNAcentral's name for it is "partial 16S ribosomal RNA". It matches the Rfam family "Bacterial small subunit ribosomal RNA", at positions 354 to 796 of the family's 1533-position model. The record is from RNAcentral.